CAUCCCUACGCACUGCUCACCCUAGCUCAGCGACUCGGGAGCAUGGACUCGAACAAGGCGGCGGUGACAGCCACAGCACGUGUCUGGGCUUGCGAGACAGCCACGAUUAGGUGGGGAGCUCAUCAACUUGUUUGUAGAAUGAACAUGACUCAGAGUUCCUUCAGCCAUCUCCUGACAGAGUAUGCCUUCGGAAGUACAUGUCCUGUGAAGGAGAGGAUGCGCUCUGCCAGGCUGUGGGAUAAGCCUGACCUUCCUUCCCAGCUGCUCCUGCUGCCCUGUGCACCCUACACGGGAACAGCAGUGUCCCUCUGAAGUAGCAGGAGGAGUACAAAUCUGGACUUGCUUUUCAAACAGUCCUCACCUAUUUGCUAUGUCCCUUUUUCUGUGAAAUUUGUGAAUGGAAAUAAACGCAUGCUGACUA
Long non-coding RNA from Jaculus jaculus (lesser Egyptian jerboa), 421 nucleotides. RefSeq lists it as uncharacterized. The transcript is spliced from 2 exons. The record is from RefSeq and is a predicted model, not a curated record. NCBI's taxonomy places the organism in Eukaryota, Metazoa, Chordata, Mammalia, Rodentia, Dipodidae.